GCGGGCGUCCAUCCAAACGUUUGAAGAUAAAGGAGGUGUCAACCACUCUUCCAUGGUCCAACUUCAGUGCCUGCAGGUCAUUAUAUAAACCAUGGCCCACUAAAAUAGUUCCUUUCCGUAAUAGCUUCUUCAUAGAUUUUUGUAUGUCAGCUAAUGAACAAGAUAAUUCAUCCAAAUCUCCAGCAGCAACUCCAGUAAUCUCGGUUCUAUAAUCUGCAACUGGUUUGCAAGGAUUUACUUUUUCGUCAAGUUUUAC
Molecule: unclassified non-coding RNA, 256 nt
Filed under: Hevea brasiliensis (rubber tree)
Lineage: Eukaryota; Viridiplantae; Streptophyta; Magnoliopsida; Malpighiales; Euphorbiaceae
Source: RNAcentral